GACGAACGCUGGCGGCGUGCUUAACACAUGCAAGUCGAACGGAAAGGCCCUGCUUUUGUGGGGUGCUCGAGUGGCGAACGGGUGAGUAACACGCGAGUAACCUGCCCUUGACUUUGGGAUAACUUCAGGAAACUGGGGCUAAUACCGGAUAGGAGCUCCUGCUGCACGGUGGGGGUUGGAAAGUUUCGGCGGUUGGGGAUGGUCUGGCGGCUUAUCAGCUUGUUGGUGGGGUAGUGGCUUACCAAGGUUUUGACGGGUAGCCGGCCUGAGAGGGUGACCGGCCACAUUGGGACUGAGAUACGGCCCAGACUCCUACGGGCGGCAGCAGUGGAGAAUAUUGCACAGUGGGCGGAAGCGUGAUGCAGCAACGCCGCGUGCGGGAUGACGGCCUUCGGGUUGUAAACCACUUUCGCAUGUGACGAAGCGUGAGUGACGGUAAUGGGUAAAAAAGCACCGGCUAACUACGUG
RNAcentral lists this ribosomal RNA (468 nucleotides) under uncultured bacterium. Its description in RNAcentral is "partial 16S ribosomal RNA". It matches the Rfam family "Bacterial small subunit ribosomal RNA", at positions 28 to 507 of the family's 1533-position model. The record is from RNAcentral.